CUCAGGGCUGGGUGAAAUUCCCGACCGGCGGUAUACCCCGCGAGCCGUUUGGCUGAACCGGUCUGAUUCCGGUGGCGACAGUAAAGUCUGGAUGGAAGAGA
RNAcentral lists this non-coding RNA (101 nucleotides) under uncultured Bulleidia sp. RNAcentral's name for it is "FMN riboswitch (RFN element)". It matches the Rfam family "FMN riboswitch aptamer (RFN element)", at positions 8 to 131 of the family's 138-position model. Rfam says of the family: The RFN element is a highly conserved domain that is found frequently in the 5'-untranslated regions of prokaryotic mRNAs that encode for flavin mononucleotide (FMN) biosynthesis and transport proteins. Lineage: Bacteria; Bacillati; Bacillota; Erysipelotrichia; Erysipelotrichales; Erysipelotrichaceae. The record is from RNAcentral.